This 454-nucleotide ribosomal RNA is filed under the name uncultured Barnesiella sp. RNAcentral describes it as "partial 16S ribosomal RNA". It matches the Rfam family "Bacterial small subunit ribosomal RNA", at positions 341 to 792 of the family's 1533-position model. The record is from RNAcentral. Lineage: Bacteria; Pseudomonadati; Bacteroidota; Bacteroidia; Bacteroidales; Barnesiellaceae.
ACGGAAGGCAGCAGUGAGGAAUAUUGGUCAAUGGAGGAAACUCUGAACUAGCCAAGUCGCGUGAGGGAAGAAUGCCCUACGGGUUGUAAACCUCUUUUGCCGGGGGAUAAACCUGACCACGUGUGGUCAGCUUAAGGUACCCGGUGAAUAAGCAUCGGCUAACUCCGUGCCAGCAGCCGCGGUAAUACGGAGGAUGCGAGCGUUAUCCGGAUUUAUUGGGUUUAAAGGGUGCGCAGGCGGGCUGUUAAGUCAGCGGUGAAAUCUCCGGGCUCAACUCGGAAACUGCCGUUGAUACUGGCGGCCUUGAGUCAUGUCGAGGAUGGCGGAAUGCAGCGUGUAGCGGUGAAAUGCUUAGAUAUGCUGCAGAACUCCGAUUGCGAAGGCAGCUGUCCAGAGAUGUACUGACGCUGAGGCACGAAAGCAUGGGUAUCAAACAGGAUUAGAUACCCUGGUA